GAUGAACGCUGGCGGCGUGCUUAACACAUGCAAGUCGAACGGGGAUGUGAUGUGCGAGGGAAAUAGCUUGCUAUAGACUAAACUUUUCACAUCCGAGUGGCGGACGGGUGAGUAACGCGUGGGUAACCUGCCGUAUGCAGGGGGAUAACACUUAGAAAUAGGUGCUAACACCGCAUAAGCGCACGGGAGCGCAUGCUCCUGUGUGAAAAACUCCGGUGGCAUACGAUGGACCCGCGUCUGAUUAGCCAGUUGGCAGGGUAACGGCCUACCAAAGCGACGAUCAGUAGCCGGCCUGAGAGGGCGGACGGCCACAUUGGGACUGAGACACGGCCCAA
Molecule: ribosomal RNA, 335 nt
Filed under: uncultured bacterium
Lineage: Bacteria
Description: bacterial SSU rRNA
Rfam family: Bacterial small subunit ribosomal RNA
Source: RNAcentral